AAAUUGAAGAGUUUGAUCAUGGCUCAGAUUGAACGCUGGCGGCAGGCCUAACACAUGCAAGUCGAACGGUAACAGGAAGAAGCUUGCUCUUUGCUGACGAGUGGCGGACGGGUGAGUAAUGUCUGGGAAACUGCCUGAUGGAGGGGGAUAACUACUGGAAACGGUAGCUAAUACCGCAUAACGUCGCAAGACCAAAGAGGGGGACCUUCGGGCCUCUUGCCAUCGGAUGUGCCCAGAUGGGAUUAGCUAGUAGGUGGGGUAACGGCUCACCUA
This 273-nucleotide ribosomal RNA is filed under the name Escherichia coli O111:H8 str. CVM9634. RNAcentral describes it as "partial 16S ribosomal RNA". It matches the Rfam family "Bacterial small subunit ribosomal RNA", at positions 1 to 271 of the family's 1533-position model. Lineage: Bacteria; Pseudomonadati; Pseudomonadota; Gammaproteobacteria; Enterobacterales; Enterobacteriaceae. The record is from RNAcentral.